AGGACGAACGCUAGCGGCGUGUCUGAAACAUGCAAGUCGAACGGGGUUCAGCAAUGAAUUCAGUGGCGAACGGGUGCGUAACACGUAAAGAACCUGCCCUUCAGCGGGGGAUAGCCCUGGGAAACCGGGGGUAAUACCGCAUGAGACCUUGUCUUCGCAUGAAGAAAAGGAGAAAGGGAUCAGACGAUAGUUUGAUUUCACUGGAGGAGGGCUUUGCGGCCUAUCAGGUAGUUGGGAGGGUAACGGCCUACCAAGCCUAAGACGGGUAGCUGGU
RNAcentral lists this ribosomal RNA (274 nucleotides) under uncultured bacterium. Its description in RNAcentral is "partial small subunit ribosomal RNA". It matches the Rfam family "Bacterial small subunit ribosomal RNA", at positions 26 to 291 of the family's 1533-position model. The record is from RNAcentral.